RNAcentral lists this transfer RNA (71 nucleotides) under Ovis aries (sheep). It matches the Rfam family "tRNA". From Rfam's summary of the family: Transfer RNA (tRNA) molecules are approximately 80 nucleotides in length. Their secondary structure includes four short double-helical elements and three loops (D, anti-codon, and T loops). Lineage: Eukaryota; Metazoa; Chordata; Mammalia; Artiodactyla; Bovidae. The record is from Rfam by way of RNAcentral.
UCCUGGUGGUUCAAAUGGUAAAGAAUCUGCUCCCAAUGCAGGAGAUCCAGGUUUGAUCCCUGGGUCAGGAA